Pan paniscus (pygmy chimpanzee) is the source of this 1099-nucleotide long non-coding RNA. NCBI's taxonomy places the organism in Eukaryota, Metazoa, Chordata, Mammalia, Primates, Hominidae. The record is from Ensembl.
CUCUUGUGAAAAAUGAAAUAACAAAAGUGCUUAGAACAGUGCCUGGCACACAUUAACUUCAUUAUUAUUAUCCAUAUUAUGCCUGUUAUUAUUGUUAUUGCUACUCUUUGCCUAAUCUGGGGGAUUCACAUGGAGCCAAUUUCUAUUUCGAGACCCCAGCUGUUAGCAUUCAUCACUUCUGAGGCUGUGUAGAGUGGUAUUGCUAACCACCCCAAUCCUUCAGCCACUGGAGGGAUGGGGAUGGGCCUCCACUAUUUAUAGCUGGGGAGGAGCCUCUUAACAUUUCUGUUUUAGAAUAUCAUCAUGUUCUGGUGAACUGGAAUUGUGAUGAAAGGAGUUUGGAUAAGAAGUAAAUUGGGGCAAGCUAGCCUGCUUUCCACCAGAGCAUCUCCCUCCAAUGAUGCAAGUGUGUGGAAAUGAGACUGCAGGGAGAACUUCCAGGCAACAAAGGAUGUGAGACUAUAGAAGAGGCGCUGUAGCUGGGCUCAUGGAGGAGGGAGGCCGCUCUGGACUUUGCCCAGGGGAUGCUGGAUCUCUGAUAUGAAGGAAGAAGAGGGGGAGGAAGGGUCCCCAAGCCUCUGACCUUGAUCUGAGCAUCACAGAAGCCUCCUCCCCUGAGGAUCCUGCAGUAGCCAAGCCACCAGCUUUCACAGAUGAUGGCUUACACUGAAAUAACUUGUUCCUAGGGUAGUUGGUGAUCAAUGACUCAAAUUAAACCUUAGAAAAGAUUUUUUUCUUCCUGACACUUGAUAGGUUUCUCUACUUAUCUCCUCCCUGGAUGGCUGUAUAAGCCAGAUGACGGCUACCUGAACACUCUAGAAAAAGUGAAUUCACAGAGGCUUUCACAGGGCACAGCCUCGCAGUCUGGAGGGAGAAGAGGGCAAAGCGGUCUUCACGGAUGCCACCUACUGCCUAGCUGGGCAGAGAGCCAGUGGAUCAGAGAGGCCGGCUCUGUUCUUGGCAGGAAAUGAGGGGCUGGCAUGGAAAUGCCACCCAGGCUGGGAACAAGAUCUGUGGAGUGGCAGCCUGAGUGGGUGAGGUGAGGGGGAGUAAAGGACAACCCAGGGCUCUCUUGUCAGCAGCACUGGUCCACAGGGAU